RNAcentral lists this ribosomal RNA (254 nucleotides) under uncultured bacterium. RNAcentral describes it as "partial 16S ribosomal RNA". It matches the Rfam family "Bacterial small subunit ribosomal RNA", at positions 524 to 776 of the family's 1533-position model. The record is from RNAcentral.
GACGAACCGUCCAAACGUUAUUCGGAAUCACUGGGCUUAAAGGGCGCGUAGGCGGUCAGCACAAGUCAGUUGUGAAAUCUCCGGGCUUAACUCGGAAAGGUCAACCGAUACUGCGGGGCUAGAGUGCAGAAGGGGCAACUGGAAUUCUCGGCGUAGCGGUGAAAUGCGUAGAUAUCGAGAGGAACACCUGCGGCGAAGGCGGGUUGCUGGGCUGACACUGACGCUGAUGUGCGAAAGCUAGGGGAGCGAACGGG